CAGUAGCCGCGGGAAUACGUAGGGUGCAAGCGUUAAUCGGAAUUACUGGGCGUAAAGCGUGCGCAGGCGGUUAUAUAUGACAGAUGUGAAAUCCCCGGGCUCAACCUGGGAACUGCAUUUGUGACUGUAUAGCUAGAGUACGGCAGAGGGGGAUGGAAUUCCGCGUGUAGCAGUGAAAUGCGUAGAUAUGCGGAGGAACACCGAUGGCGAAGGCAAUCCCCUGGGCCUGUACUGACGCUCAUGCACGAAAGCGUGGGGAGCAAACAGGAUUAGAUACCCCCGUAGUCCCUGUCUCUUAUAC
This 301-nucleotide ribosomal RNA is filed under the name uncultured bacterium. RNAcentral describes it as "partial 16S ribosomal RNA". It matches the Rfam family "Bacterial small subunit ribosomal RNA", at positions 509 to 807 of the family's 1533-position model. The record is from RNAcentral.